AUACUUGGUUUAGUCUAUCGGGUGUCUUCGUUCCCUCUCACCCACAGCAACAAGUGUGAGGCCGAGGCUAAAUGCUUCCUUAACUUCUCAUCAGAUGAUGUCAUCUCCAAACUUGAGUGCGUUGAAGGUGACUGGCUUGGAGAGGAACAGAUGUGUUUGGGAUGCUUCCAUCUAGUGGCCACGCAAAAACACUGUUGAUACUACACAAUGUG
Molecule: long non-coding RNA, 212 nt
Organism: Etheostoma cragini (Arkansas darter)
Lineage: Eukaryota; Metazoa; Chordata; Actinopteri; Perciformes; Percidae
Exons: 2
Source: RefSeq, a predicted model, not a curated record